GUUGCAACAGCAUGUGUGGAUAUUGCAAAAUGAUUAAAAGUUAUGCCAGCUCUCAAAAGACUAGCUCUGGGCAAUUAGCAAUGCUUACUGUAAGCAGAAAACAAAUUACAAUUUGGCAAAUUACUUUAUGGAAGUUUCUUUACUUCAUGUCCUUUAUAAAAGUUUGUGUUGCCACCUUGUGGUUAUAGCUUGCACCUUACAGAGAUAUAAAACAUUUGGUAGCAGUUAUUACAACACUUCCUUUGACCGUUUGACUCUUGUUGGUGGCCUCUCAUCACCUUCAUAACAGUGGCGGUUCUAGACCAUUUCAACUGGGGGGCCAAGCUGGGGCCAGUUGUACUGUUAGAGGAGCCAGUUACAUUAGACGUUAUUGUUGUCAUAUUGUUUUCUUCACUGCAUUGCAGGCAUUAGCAGGCAAAAGACCAUGUUCAUAAUCAUUAGUGUUCCGCGUUGCCGCUGUCUAAUAACGGAUGUAAAAAAAGAACGAUAGCAAAAAUGUGUUAUGUCAAAAUGAUUUCAUACUCCACAUUUAGUUCAUAAGUGGGUUGGUCGCGCCCACUAACUCCGGCUCCAUGGGAACCGGGACUUUUGGACGAAGAACUCGGUUGAACCGCGAGGAGGAGGAAGAUUUGUGACAGCGCACAAGGAAGGACACGCCUGCUCGUUACAUCGACAGUUUGUGUGGGUAGACCGUGCGUGUUGUUCUGACGGAGAAUUUAUAAUACUCACCUCUACUCAAUGAACCUACCUUUCGCUUGUUAUUUUGUCCCCGACGGUUGUGGUUUUCUGCGUCAUAGCAACAGAGAUGUAAAUCAAGUUAGCCUCCACCUCUUCAUUUGAUAUGCAGCUACUGACAUAACCAGGAGCGCUGAAGUGACAGAGUGCAGCGGAAGAUGGACAUCCGGAGUGGCAUACAAAAGGCAGUGGAGCCCCUCCCUGCCUCUCUCCCCUCUUCCCCUCAACAGUCGGGUGCCCAUCAGCAGAGCGAGCCGGAGGACAGCCAGGCAGAACGGAGUGCCAGGCCCACCGCUGACAACCACAGCAACGACACCCAGCCAGCCGCCGGCCACCGAGACGACAAAAAACUUCCUCACCCACUGAGCACCGAUCGAAACCGGACGUCUAUGGACGUUGAAAAGUUGUCGAAAUUUCCUCCCAGGCCUUGAUGUUAACAUCCACAGACGGACCAGCCUGGACCAAAUCUGAACCUAUCAUGGAAGAAUGUUUCACGAGUUUGGAUAGUGCAGUACAGAGAGUAGAGCACAGUAGAGUACAGUCCAAUACAAUACAGUGGUGCAGUACAAUAUACUACAGUACAGUACAAUACAAUACAGUACAGUACAGUACAGUACAGUACAGUACAGUACAGUACAGUACAAUACAAUACAGUAGAGUAAAGGAAAGUAUAGUAGAGUACAGAAUUCAUUAGUUGCACCUCCGUCACUCGGUCACAUCAUGCCAUUGUUAUGAACGUUCUCAAGCCGCCCUCUAUCAGCGGCGCCAUACUGGUGCCCAAAAGUCGUGAUGAACCCAGUCAUUCUGGACGGAGGCUAACUACUGUUUAGUCUAAACUACACUAUAGUGCCUGGAAAUACGAUUACAUUGCCAAAGUAGUCAAAUGUUUAGUAGGAAAGAACUUUGGCAGCAUUAUCAUGUCGUCAAAGUUUCUUUAGACAGAUAGCAAUGUUCUCAUUAGCUACCAAAGUUCGUUAAAAAUACUUAGCAAUGCUAACGGUAGCUAGCAAAAAUCUGGUGGCCUCCCCUCAACCUUAGCAAUCUACUAAUUAUUUGCCUCCUUUUGAAUGUCAUUAUAUUUCCAAGCCACUGUAAUGCACUUAUGAUGAAAUCUUCAUCAGCGCUCACUGAUGAUGCAUUGAGUAGAAUUCUGUCGGGCAACAGUCCAAAAAUAACUUUUGAAACAAUAUUGUUACGAAACAUGCAACCCAUGAAUUUUGUACUGUAUUCUACUAUACUGCUAUAAUCUACUUUACUGUACUCUACUGUACUCUACUGAACUUUACUCUACUCUACCCUACUCUACUCUGCUGUGCUUUUCUGUGCUGUAUUGUACUGCACUGUACUUUACUGUGCUCUGCUGUGCUGCACUGUGCUGUAUUGUACUGCACUGUACUUUACUGUGCUCUGCUGUGCUGCGCUGUGAUGUCCAAACUUCUGAAACCUGAGGAGAAUAACAUUCAUAUCCAUAAUUAUGCAUUUCUGUGUAGUACAGAUCAGGGACCCAUGAUGUAAUUCUGUUACCAUAAUUCCGUUACCGCGUGUAAAUCCACUUCACUUACUGUAGUUCAGUAACCAAAAGAGAUUUUUUCAAAGCUGACACCCCAUUGUUUCUGCAGACAUCUUUGAAUCUUCAUUCAGAGGAGAUAUUUAUGCAUUUUUGGAAAACUUGGAGGCAUAAAAACCUGAAGGAGAUUUCACCGUAAUACCUUUACCAAAGUUUGCAUCUGCACAGUUCUUUAACAAAAUUAGUUUUUGUACAUAUUUCAGUGGAAAUUCUUAAAAGUUGUCAUUUUGUAUAGAGUUGUAUGGUUUGUUCAACAUUGAAAUCAAUGUUUUAUUUUUGGCAUACAUUUUGAAAUGAAAAAUAAUUGAGUUAAUGCGUAAUUACAUUACAGUGGAAUUGUCCAUACAUACCAACUGAGCUACAGAGUUACUGAGCUUGUGUGUCUAGGGCCUGUGUGUACAUGUACUGUUUCCCAAUCAUGGCCCUGGGGAGCCAAAGCGGGGCACAUUUUAGUUUUUGCCCUAGCAUUAACACGUCUGAUUCAACCAAAAGCUUGAUGAGUUGAUUAGUUCAGCCAAGUGUGUUAGUUAUAUGGCAAAAACUAAAAAUGUGCACACCUUUGUGUACCCAGGAUUGGGAAACACUGUGGGAGUAAAUACGCUCAGCAUAUGGCCUUCAUCAACAUGCAGAAUGACAGCAGCCUCCACUCCCCCUCCCUCCGUCUAUGCCAUGUCAAUCACCGGGCCUGGCAGGAACCUCAACCCUCCUCCAUCAAUCAUCACAGAGAGACAGUAGGCCUUGGCUGAUAGGAGGGCAGGCCUAUGGAGACCACCAGAGUAAACACAACACAGCACAGAGAAAAACACACUACUUUAUAGCCUGCUGUUGCUAAUUUGGAUGUAUGUCUUGCCAUGGAAAGUCAUUGAUUUGAAGCUCAAAGUCAUGUGAAGUCUGGUGUCACGGUGAAGAAAGAAAACACUCCAGAUGAAGAUACAGUUCUCUGAUUACUUAUCCUUGGCUUUGGCCAUAUAGAUGCAGUAUUGUAUUUAUGGAGUGUAAUAUUAUAGACUCUUCUC
This 3318-nucleotide long non-coding RNA is filed under the name Salmo salar (Atlantic salmon). RNAcentral describes it as "lncRNA (ENSSSAG00000077840.2)". Lineage: Eukaryota; Metazoa; Chordata; Actinopteri; Salmoniformes; Salmonidae. The record is from RNAcentral.